RNAcentral lists this ribosomal RNA (497 nucleotides) under uncultured bacterium. Its description in RNAcentral is "partial 16S ribosomal RNA". It matches the Rfam family "Bacterial small subunit ribosomal RNA", at positions 28 to 507 of the family's 1533-position model. The record is from RNAcentral.
GAUGAACGCUGGCGGCGUGCCUAAUACAUGCAAGUCGAGCGAACGGACGAGAAGCUUGCUUCUCUGAUGUUAGCGGCGGACGGGUGAGUAACACGUGGAUAACCUACCUAUAAGACUGGGAUAACUUCGGGAAACCGUAGCUAAUACCGGAUAAUAUUUUGAACCGCAUGGUUCAAAAGUGAAAGACGGUCUUGCUGUCACUUAUAGAUGGAUCCGCGCUGCAUUAGCUAGUUGGUAAGGUAACGGCUUACCAAGGCAACGAUGCAUAGCCGACCUGAGAGGGCGAUCGGCCACACUGGAACUGAGACACGGUCCAGACUCCUACGGGAGGCAGCAGUAGGGAAUCUUCCGCAAAGGGCGAAAGCCUGACGGAGCAACGCCGCGUGAGUGAUGAAGGUCUUCGGAUCGUAAAACUCUGUUAUUAGGGAAGAACAUAUGUGUAAGUAACUGUGCACAUCUUGACGGUACCUAAUCAGAAAGCCACGGCUAACUACGUG